UGAGGAAUAUUGGGCAAUGCCCGCAAGGGUGACCCAGCAACGCCGCGUGGAGGAUGAAUGUCGUAAGAUUGUAAACUCCUGUUAGAGGGGAAGAAUAGUACCGGUUGGACCGGUAUAUGACUGUACCCUCAGAGAAAGCCCCGGCUAACUACGUGCCAGCAGCCGCGGUAAUACGUAGGGGGCAAGCGCUGUCCGGAUUUACUGGGUGUAAAGGGCGCGCAGGCGGGAUAAAAAGUCAGUGGUGAAAUCCUACAGCUUAACUGUAGAACUGCCUGUGAUACUUUUAUUCUUGAGUUCGGGAGAGAGAGACAGAAUUCCAGGUGUAGUGGUGAAAUACGUAGAUAUCUGGAAGAACACCAGUUGGGAAGGCGGUAUCUUGGUCCGACACUUACGCUGAGGCGCGAAUGCGUGGGGAGCAAACA
Molecule: ribosomal RNA, 422 nt
Filed under: uncultured bacterium
Lineage: Bacteria
Description: bacterial SSU rRNA
Rfam family: Bacterial small subunit ribosomal RNA
Source: RNAcentral